GCGGAAGGCUCCUUCGGGGGUACUCGAGCGGCGAACGGGUGAGUAACACGUGAGUAAUCUGCCCUGCGCUCUGGGAUAGCCACCGGAAACGGUGAUUAAUACCGGAUAGGACCACUUCACGCAUGUGAUGGUGGUGGAAAGUUUUUUCGGCGCAGGAUGUGCUCGCGGCCUAUCAGCUUGUUGGUGAGGUAAUGGCUCACCAAGGCUUUGACGGGUAGCCGGCCUGAGAGGGUGACCGGUCACACUGGGACUGAGACACGGCCCAGACUCCUACGGGAGGCAGCAGUGGGGAAUAUUGGACAAUGGGCGGAAGCCUGAUCCAGCAACGCCGCGUGAGGGAUGACGGCCUUCGGGUUGUAAACCUCUUUCAGUACCGACGAAGCGAAAGUGACGGUAGGUACAGAAGAAGGACCGGCCAACUACGUGCCAGCAGCCGCGGUAAUACGUAGGGUCCGAGCGUUGUCCGGAAUUAUUGGGCGUAAAGGGCUCGUAGGCGGUUUGUCGCGUCGGGAGUGAAAACACCGGGCUUAACUCGGUGCUUGCUUUCGAUACGGGCAGACUAGAGGUAUGCAGGGGAGAAUGGAAUUCCUGGUGUAGCGGUGAAAUGCGCAGAUAUCAGGAGGAACACCGGUGGCGAAGGCGGUUCUCUGGGCAUUACCUGACGCUGAGGAGCGAAAGUGUGGGGAGCGAACAGGAUUAGAUACCCUGGUAGUCCACACC
Molecule: ribosomal RNA, 720 nt
Filed under: Nocardioides sp. 10-30-2E
Lineage: Bacteria; Bacillati; Actinomycetota; Actinomycetes; Propionibacteriales; Nocardioidaceae
Description: bacterial SSU rRNA
Rfam family: Bacterial small subunit ribosomal RNA
Source: RNAcentral